AUGUUUAGCAAGUUUGAAUUUGAUGGGAAACUGAAUCCUACUUUUGUGGAAGGGGCAUUUAAGCUCCCAUUAUCAAGCAUACGAGCAUAUCUAAAAUAGCCUAUUACUCCCAGGUUUCACAUUCUUUUCAUUUUGUUGGAUUAUCUUCUUAUGACUAAACAUAAUUGAUCUGCUAGGUGCACUUUCUGUUUUAGUCUUUAAAGAAUCUCUUUGCUUGUGUUCCGUGUAGGUUCGUACACUUAGGUUCUGCAGGAGCUACCCGACCUGACAGGCCUGGACUUGAUCUAAGUAAACAACCUCCUGCUGUUCGCUUAAACAAGGAAUUAGAUUUUAUACUGACAUUCAAGUUGAAGGUUUCAUACUAAUUCAGUGCAAGCUGUUUGAUAUUUUUAUAUAUAAUCAGUGUAUCAAAAUACCACUUCUUAGCUCUUCUCUCUCUCUCUCUCUCUCUCUCUCUCUCUCUCUCUCUCUCUCUCUCUACAUUGCGGGUGUAUAUACUCGUAGCAGAUGAAAAGCAGAGGCUUCAACAAGAACAUACAUAAGCGACCAAGAUUUUAA
This 558-nucleotide long non-coding RNA is filed under the name Prunus dulcis (almond). RNAcentral describes it as "sRNA ncRNA". The record is from RNAcentral. Lineage: Eukaryota; Viridiplantae; Streptophyta; Magnoliopsida; Rosales; Rosaceae.